CAGGCCUAACACUAGCAAGUCGAGGGGCAGCAUGGUCUUAGCUUGCUAAGACUGAUGGSGACCGGCGCACGGGUGAGUAACGCGUAUCCAACCUUCCCCUUAGUAGGGCAUAGCCCGGCGAAAGUCGGAUUAAUACCCUAUGUUUUCCAAUGAAGACAUCUGAGCUGGAACAAAGAUUUAUCGCUAAGGGAUGGGGAUGCGUCUGAUUAGGUUGUUGGCGGGGUAACGGCCCACCAAGCCAUCGAUCAGUAGGGGUUCUGAGAGGAAGGUCCCCCACAUUGGUACUGAGACACGGACCAGACUCCUACGGGAGGCAGCAGUGAGGAAUAUUGGUCAAUGGGCGCAGGCCUGAACCAGCCAAGUAGCGUGUGGGAUGACUGCCCUACGGGUUGUAAACCACUUUUGCGCGGGGAUAACGAGCGGGACGCGUCCCGCGUUGCAGGUACCGCGCGAAUAAGGACCGGCUAAUUCCGUGCCAGCAGCCGCGGUAAUACGGAAGGUCCUGGCGUUAUCCGGAUUUAUUGGGUUUAAAGGGUGCGCAGGCGGUCGAUUAAGUCAGCGGUGAAAUGUCCCGGCUCAACCGGGGAGCUGCCGUUGAUACUGGUUGGCUUGAGUGCGGACGGCGCCGGCGGAAUGAGUGGUGUAGCGGUGAAAUGCAUAGAUAUCACUCAGAACACCGAUCGCGAAGGCAGCUGGCGAGGCCGUCACUGACGCUGAGGCACGAAAGCGUGGGGAUCAAACAGGAUUAGAUACCCUGGUAGUCCACGCAGUAAACGAUGAUGACUUGUUGUCGGCGACAGACAGUCGGUGACAAAGCGAAAGCGAUAAGUCAUCCACCUGGGGAAUACGAUCGCAAGGUUGAAACUCAAAGGAAUUGACGGGGGCCCGCACAAGCGGAGGAGCAUGUGGUUUAAUUCGAUGAUACGCGAGGAACCUUACCUGGACUCAAAUGUUGGGUGACCGGCCAAGAGAUUGGCCUUUCCUUCGGGACAUCCAGCAAGGUGCUGCAUGGUUGUCGUCAGCUCGUGCCGUGAGGUGUCAGGUUAAGUCCUAUAACGAGCGCAACCCCUACGCCCAGUUGCCAGCGGGUAAAGCCGGGGACUCUGGGGGAACUGCCCGCGCAAGCGGAGAGGAAGGUGGGGAUGACGUCAAAUCAGCACGGCCCUUACGUCCAGGGCGACACACGUGCUACAAUGGCCGGUACAGAGGGCAGCCACCUGGCGACAGGGAGCGAAUCUCGAAAGCCGGUCUCAGUUCGGAUCGGAGUCUGCAACCCGACUCCGUGAAGUUGGAUUCGCUAGUAAUCGCGCAUCAGCCAUGGCGCGGUGAAUACGUUCCCGG
RNAcentral lists this ribosomal RNA (1341 nucleotides) under uncultured rumen bacterium. RNAcentral describes it as "partial 16S ribosomal RNA". It matches the Rfam family "Bacterial small subunit ribosomal RNA", at positions 43 to 1377 of the family's 1533-position model. The record is from RNAcentral.